UACGUUCAAAUCACGCUGAAACACCGGUUCUCGUUCGAUCACCGAAGUUAAGCAUCGUAGAGCCAGGUCAGUACUUAGAUGGGGGACCGCUUGGGAACACCUGGUACUGUAAG
Acanthosepion pharaonis is the source of this 113-nucleotide non-coding RNA. Lineage: Eukaryota; Metazoa; Mollusca; Cephalopoda; Sepiida; Sepiidae. The record is from the annotation of a GenBank genome assembly.